RNAcentral lists this ribosomal RNA (414 nucleotides) under uncultured bacterium. Its description in RNAcentral is "partial 16S ribosomal RNA". It matches the Rfam family "Bacterial small subunit ribosomal RNA", at positions 355 to 784 of the family's 1533-position model. The record is from RNAcentral.
UGGGGAAUAUUGGACAAUGGGCGCAAGCCUGAUCCAGCCAUGCCGCGUGAGUGAUGAAGGCCCUAGGGUUGUAAAGCUCUUUCACCGGUGAAGAUAAUGACGGUAACCGGAGAAGAAGCCCCGGCUAACUUCGUGCCAGCAGCCGCGGUAAUACGAAGGGGGCUAGCGUUGUUCGGAUUUACUGGGCGUAAAGCGCACGUAGGCGGACUUUUAAGUCAGGGGUGAAAUCCCGGGGCUCAACCCCGGAACUGCCUUUGAUACUGGAAGUCUUGAGUAUGGUAGAGGUGAGUGGAAUUCCGAGUGUAGAGGUGAAAUUCGUAGAUAUUCGGAGGAACACCAGUGGCGAAGGCGGCUCACUGGACCGUUACUGACGCUGAGGUGCGAAAAGCGUGGGGAGCAAAACAGGAUUAGAUA